RNAcentral lists this ribosomal RNA (251 nucleotides) under uncultured prokaryote. Its description in RNAcentral is "partial 16S rRNA". It matches the Rfam family "Bacterial small subunit ribosomal RNA", at positions 525 to 775 of the family's 1533-position model. The record is from RNAcentral.
ACAGAGGUGGCGAGCGUUGUUCGGAUUUACUGGGCGUAAAGGGCGCGUAGGCUGUUGCGUUUGUCGAGUGUGAAAUCCCUGGGCUCAACCCGGGAAGUGCGCUCGAAACUGCGUGACUUGAGCAGAGGAGGGGAGAGCGGAAUUCAUGGUGUAGCGGUGAAAUGCGUUGAUAUCAUGAGGAACACCGGUGGCGAAGGCGGCUCUCUGGAAUCUUGCUGACGCUGAGGCGCGAAAGUCGGGGGAGCAAACAG